CAUUUAAAGAGUGCGUAACAGCUCACUAGUCGAGGAGUUUGGCGUGGAUAAUAAUCGGGCAUAAGUGUUUUACCGAAGCUAUGGGAUACGUAAGUAUCGGUAGGGGAGCAUUCCACUCAGCGUUGAAGGCGAAGCGUGAGCUUUACUGGAGCGUGUGGAAAAGCAAAUGUAGGUAUAAGUAACGAUAAAGGGGGUGAGAAACCCCCUCGCCGCAAGACUAAGGUUUCCUGAUCAACGCUAAUCGGAUCAGGGUUAGUCGGGUCCUAAGGCUCAGCCGAACGGUGAGGCCGAUGGCAGAACAGGUUAAUAUUCCUGUACUACCUAUAGGAGUGAUGUGGAGACGGAGGAGUGACAACGCCGCGGACUGACGGAAUAGUCCGUUAAAGGGUGUAGAUGUUGAUUAUCCCAGGCAAAUCCGGGAUAAGAGUCGAACCUGACAGUAUACCAAUUUCCUCGGAAAACGGUAAUAGUGCGUGUAAACAUACUCCCAAGAAAAUCCGCUAAACUUAAUCUUAUAGGUACCCGUACCGUAAACGGACACACGUAGUCGGGUUGAAUAUACUCAGGCGCUUGAGUGAAUCACGGUUAAGGAACUAGGCAAAUUGACCCUGUAACUUCGGGAUAAAGGGUCCCUACCCGGUGACGGGAGGGCGCAGAGAAUAGGUCCAGGCAACUGUUUAACAAAAACACAGGGCUGUGCAAAAUUGAAAGAUCACGUAUACAGCCUGACACCUGCCCGGUGCUGGAAGGUUAAGAGGAGAUGUCAUCGCAAGAGAAGCAUUGAAUUGAAGCCCCAGUAAACGGCGGCCGUAACUAUAACGGUCCUAAGGUAGCGAAAUUCCUUGUCGGGUAAGUUCCGACCUGCACGAAUGGUGUAAUGAUCUGGACACUGUCUCAACCGUGAGCUCAGUGAAAUUGUAGUAUCGGUGAAGAUGCCGAUUACCCGCGAUGGGACGAAAAGACCCCGUGAACCUUUACUAUAGCUUAACAUUGAAUUUGGGUAAUUGAUGUGUAGGAUAGGCCGGAGACUUUGAAGCAGGCACGCCAGUGUUUGUGGAGUCGCUGUUGAAAUACGGCCCUUUGGUUAUUUGAGUUCUAACUCGCUGAUGCGAGGACACUGUUUGGUGGGUAGUUUGACUGGGGUGGUCGCCUCCAAAAGCGUAACGGAGGCUUCCCAAGGUACCCUCAGCACGAAUGGUAACCGUGCGCGGAGUGCAAUAGCAUAAGGGUGCUUGACUGUGAGACAUACAAGUCGACCAGGUACGAAAGUAGGGUAUAGUGAUCCGGUGGUUCUGCGUGGACUGGCCAUCGCUCAAAGGAUAAAAGGUACUCCGGGGAUAACAGGCUGAUCGCCGCCAAGAGCUCAUAUCGACGCGGCGGUUUGGCACCUCGAUGUCGGCUCGUCACAUCCUGGGGCUGGAGAAGGUCCCAAGGGUUCGGCUGUUCGCCGAUUAAAGUGGCACGCGAGCUGGGUUCAGAACGUCGUGAGACAGUUCGGUCUCUAUCUGUUGCGGGCGUAGGAAGAUUGAGGGGUCCUGACUUUAGUACGAGAGGACCGAGUUGGACGAACCUCCGGUGUAUCGGUUAUGCUGCCAAGUGUACUGCCGAGUAGCCGCGUUCGGUCUGGAUAAGCGCUGAAAGCAUCUAAGCGCGAAGCCAUCCCCAAGAUAAGUCUUCCCUUGAGGGGCGUAGGAGACUACUACGUUGAUAGGCUGCAGGUGUAAAGACAGCAAUGUCAAAGCCGAGCAGUACUAAUUACCCGAUAGGCUUUCUU
RNAcentral lists this ribosomal RNA (1774 nucleotides) under human gut metagenome. RNAcentral's name for it is "bacterial LSU rRNA". It matches the Rfam family "Bacterial large subunit ribosomal RNA", at positions 1120 to 2925 of the family's 2925-position model. The record is from RNAcentral.